This 74-nucleotide transfer RNA is filed under the name archaeon. RNAcentral describes it as "tRNA-Lys". It matches the Rfam family "tRNA". Rfam says of the family: Transfer RNA (tRNA) molecules are approximately 80 nucleotides in length. RNAcentral also lists the same sequence under 1 other name. The record is from RNAcentral.
GGACCCGUAGCUCAGGCUGGGAGAGCACUUGGCUUUUAACCAAGGGGUCGAGGGUUCAAAUCCCUUCGGGUCCG